RNAcentral lists this ribosomal RNA (207 nucleotides) under uncultured bacterium. RNAcentral describes it as "partial 16S ribosomal RNA". It matches the Rfam family "Bacterial small subunit ribosomal RNA", at positions 568 to 774 of the family's 1533-position model. The record is from RNAcentral.
CAUGUAGGCGGAAUUGCAAGCUUGAUGUGAAAGGCAGGGGCUUAACUCCUGGAUUGCGUUGAGAACUGCAUAACUAGAGUAACUGAGGGGCAGCCGGAAUUCCAGGUGUAGGGGUGAAAUCUGUAGAUAUCUGGAAGAACACCAAUGGCGAAGGCAGGCUACCAGCAGAUUACUGACGCUGAGGUGCGAAGGUAUGGGGAGCAAACA